RNAcentral lists this ribosomal RNA (301 nucleotides) under uncultured bacterium. RNAcentral's name for it is "partial 16S ribosomal RNA". It matches the Rfam family "Bacterial small subunit ribosomal RNA", at positions 509 to 807 of the family's 1533-position model. The record is from RNAcentral.
CAGUAGCCGCGGUAAUACCGAGGGUGCAAGCGUUAAUCGGAAUUACUGGGCGUAAAGCGCGCGUAGGUGGUUUGUUAAGUUGGAUGUGAAAUCCCCGGGCUCAACCUGGGAACUGCAUCCAAAACUGGCAAGCUAGAGUAUGGUAGAGGGUGGUGGAAUUUCCUGUGUAGCGGUGAAAUGCGUAGAUAUAGGAAGGAACACCAGUGGCGAAGGCGACCACCUGGACUGAUACUGACACUGAGGUGCGAAAGCGUGGGGAGCAAACAGGAUUAGAUACCCCAGUAGUCCCUGUCUCUUAUAC